Molecule: ribosomal RNA, 907 nt
Filed under: uncultured bacterium
Lineage: Bacteria
Description: bacterial SSU rRNA
Rfam family: Bacterial small subunit ribosomal RNA
Source: RNAcentral
AGAGUUUGAUCAUGGCUCAGGAUUAACGCUAGCGGCAGGCCUAAUACAUGCAAGUCGAACGGCAGCGGGUCCAGCAAUGGAUGCCGGCGAGUGGCGCACGGGUGCGUAACGCGUAUGCAAUCUACCUUUAACUGGAGGAUAGCCCCGAGAAAUCGGGAUUAAUACUCCAUAAUAUUGAGAAGGGGCAUCUCUUUUCAAUUAAAGCUCCGGCGGUUUUAGAUGAGCAUGCGUGACAUUAGCUAGUUGGUGAGGUAACGGCUCACCAAGGCGACGAUGUCUAGGGGUUCUGAGAGGAUUUUCCCCCACACUGGUACUGAGACACGGACCAGACUCCUACGGGAGGCAGCAGUAAGGAAUAUUGGGCAAUGGGCGCAAGCCUGACCCAGCCAUGCCGCGUGAAGGAUGACGGCCCUAUGGGUUGUAAACUUCUUUUGUACGGGAAAAAACCCCCGGUCGUGUACCGGGGCUGAUGGUACCGUAAGAAUAAGCAUCGGCUAACUCCGUGCCAGCAGCCGCGGUAAUACGGAGGAUGCAAGCGUUAUCCGGAUUCAUUGGGUUUAAAGGGUGCGCAGGCGGAAUGAUAAGUCAGUGGUGAAAUCCUACGGCUCAACUGUAGAACUGCCAUUGAUACUGUCAUUCUUGAGUACACUUGAAGUGGGCGGAAUGUGUCAUGUAGCGGUGAAAUGCUUAGAUAUGACACAGAACAUCGAUCGCGAAGGCAGCUCACUAAAUUGUAACUGACGCUCAUGCACGAAAGCGUGGGGAUCAAACAGGAUUAGAUACUCUGGUAGUCCACGCUGUAAACGAUGAUCACUCGAUGUUGGCGAUACACUGUCAGCGUCUAAGCGAAAGCAUUAAGUGAUCUACCUGGGGAGUACGGGCGCAAGGUUGAAACUCAAAGGAAUUG